Molecule: unclassified non-coding RNA, 945 nt
Filed under: Penaeus chinensis
Lineage: Eukaryota; Metazoa; Arthropoda; Malacostraca; Decapoda; Penaeidae
Description: uncharacterized LOC125039940, transcript variant X2
Source: RNAcentral
ACCACAACAAACAGGUGUGUUCUGAUAACGGGAGAGUGACAGGUGUGAGACGUCUAAAACCGUAUAAAAUAAGGAGGAAGAAGAAGAAGGAGACAGGUGUGAGCUCCAGAGUACAAGAUGUAAGCAGUCAUGUCUUCAACACUGAUCUUCCUCAUUUUCUUAGUGUAUUACCUCAUAACAAGAGGCUUUCCCAGACUGUUAUCAUGGCUUAUUGUAGCCAAGUAUCAAACAGAAAUCAAGAUCGGCCGAAUAAAUCUCUGGCGGCUCAGUUUCGAGGAUGUUUUGAUCAAAAAGUCAGGCCUAAGCAUAAAAGUUGACCGUGUUGGUGCUACAAGCAGUCUUUUUAACCAGGAAGAACGGAAAAUAUUUGCUUUGAAGGUUCACGAUGUGCGAAUUGAGAAAGAGGUGUGUGAGAAGCGUGGGCGAACUCAAAAUGAGGGAAGCAAUAAUGGCAGUGUGGAGGCUAUGUUCGCUGCAGCCAGCACAACCCCAGAGGUUGAGGCAAAGGCAAUUCAGCUCAGAAUAUCCCCUUCAGUUGUCACUCUUGCACAGUUUUUUGGUGUCCACAUCAUGAGUGUAAGCGUUGUCUACCUUCGUGACAAGUGGCCAGAAUGCCUGCUACAUGGUGCCGCUGAGAAGAUCACCAUCGAGGGAGCAACACUGAACCAGUCCAAUAUAGCACUGAAGCUUAGAUUGAUGUAUAGCAUGAUAUAAGAUACCCUGCACAUACUAAGAACCUUCUGAAAGUUGCACACACUUGUGUUGUAUUGGUUUAUGUAGUUUUAUGGAAGUGACAGGAUUUUGUCUGAAGGUCAGUGUGAGUGGAGCCCACUUGAAGGUCCUGCAGCAUGUAGCUGAUGAGAAGAAGCAGAUGGCAAGUGUGGCUGGGGGCAGCAUUGUAGGAGCUGGGCAGGAUCCCUUCGUUAAUGGAGUGUGCCAUCUCAC